AAGAGCUGAAGCUGCGGGUGACUGGCCGGAUAUGGAAGGAGCAGCAGAACCCUGAGUCUGGAGUGUGCAUUCCCAAUGUGUGAUGUGUUUUGGUCUCUGUGGUUUGCUGAAUUUCUGGAAUAAGAUGUGUGGUAGUAGUGUGAUAUGUUAUGUUGUAUUUUACCGCUGUCUGUGUCGACUCUGGUUUGUGACUGUCAGACUCUGUAUUUGUG
Molecule: unclassified non-coding RNA, 212 nt
Filed under: Hevea brasiliensis (rubber tree)
Lineage: Eukaryota; Viridiplantae; Streptophyta; Magnoliopsida; Malpighiales; Euphorbiaceae
Source: RNAcentral